UGGGGAAUUUUGGACAAUGGGCGAAAGCCUGAUCCAGCAAUGCCGCGUGUGUGAAGAAGGCCUUCGGGUUGUAAAGCACUUUUGUCCGGAAAGAAAUCCUUGGCUCUAAUACAGUCGGGGGAUGACGGUACCGGAAGAAUAAGCACCGGCUAACUACGUGCCAGCAGCCGCGGUAAUACGUAGGGUGCAAGCGUUAAUCGGAAUUACUGGGCGUAAAGCGUGCGCAGGCGGUUUGCUAAGACCGAUGUGAAAUCCCCGGGCUCAACCUGGGAACUGCAUUGGUGACUGGCAGGCUAGAGUAUGGCAGAGGGGGGUAGAAUUCCACGUGUAGCAGUGAAAUGCGUAGAGAUGUGGAGGAAUACCGAUGGCGAAGGCAGCCCCCUGGGCCAAUACUGACGCUCAUGCACGAAAGCGUGGGGAGCAAAACAGGAUUAGAUACCCUGGUAGUCCACGCCCUAAAACGAUGUCAACUAGUUGUUGGGGGACUCAUUUCCUUAGUAACGUAGCUAACGCGUGAAGUUGACCGCCUGGGGAGUACGGUCGCAAGAUUAAAACUUAAAGGAAUUGAC
RNAcentral lists this ribosomal RNA (569 nucleotides) under uncultured bacterium. RNAcentral's name for it is "partial 16S ribosomal RNA". It matches the Rfam family "Bacterial small subunit ribosomal RNA", at positions 355 to 914 of the family's 1533-position model. The record is from RNAcentral.